Dermochelys coriacea (leatherback sea turtle) is the source of this 356-nucleotide long non-coding RNA. RefSeq lists it as uncharacterized. The transcript is spliced from 3 exons. NCBI's taxonomy places the organism in Eukaryota, Metazoa, Chordata, Testudines, Dermochelyidae. The record is from RefSeq and is a predicted model, not a curated record.
AGAAAACUGACUUUCUGAUGGGGAAGCAAAGGGAAGCUGCAAGAGUGGUCACGCGCCUCUCCCCUGCAGUGCUGGCACGGUGUUUUGGGUGCCUGGAGCAGCCAGAAGAGAGUUGUUACAAGCUAUUCCAGGACCCAACAGAGAGAAAGGGCUCAUUUAUUCCAGAAUUAACAUGCUGCCAGUACAACUUCAAAGUUUGGCUUCCUCCCACCUCCAGCUGCUGUCACCUGAUCCAAUACCAACAGCUGGGCACUUGCUGUGUAAAAGUGCAGAAAAGUUCCUAUAAUGCCAAAAAGCACAAUGUUGAAAGAAAGCAAACACCUCUCUCCCACACUGCAAGAACAAGAACUUCUGAG